This 465-nucleotide ribosomal RNA is filed under the name uncultured bacterium. RNAcentral describes it as "partial 16S ribosomal RNA". It matches the Rfam family "Bacterial small subunit ribosomal RNA", at positions 28 to 507 of the family's 1533-position model. The record is from RNAcentral.
GACGAACGCUGGCGGCGUGCUUAACACAUGCAAGUCGAACGGAAAGGCCCCUUUGGGGGUACUCGAGUGGCGAACGGUUGUGUAACACGUGAGUAACCUGCCCUUGACUUCGUGAUAACUUCAUGAAACUGGGUCUAAUACCGGAUAGGAAUCCUUUCUGCAUGGUGGGUGUUGGUAAGCUUCUGCGGUUUUGGAUGUACUCGCGGCCUAUCGGCUUGUUUGUGGGGUAGUGGGUUACCAAGGCUUUGUCGGGUAGCCGGCCUGAGAGGGCGACCGGCCACAAUGGGACUGAGAUAAGGCCCAGACACCUACGGGAGGAAGAAGGGGGGAAAAGUGCAAAAUGGGCGGAAGGCAGAUGCAGCAAAGCCGCGUGCGGGAAGACGGCCUUCGGGUUGGAAACCGCUUUCAGCAGGGGCGAAGCUUGUGGUGACGGUACCUGCAGAAGAAGCACCGGCUAACUACGUG